Long non-coding RNA from Octopus sinensis (East Asian common octopus), 118 nucleotides. RefSeq lists it as uncharacterized. The transcript has 4 exons. The record is from RefSeq and is a predicted model, not a curated record. NCBI's taxonomy places the organism in Eukaryota, Metazoa, Mollusca, Cephalopoda, Octopoda, Octopodidae.
ACACACACACACACACACACACACACACACACACACUAUUUUGGUUGAGUCAGUUUCUUGCCAAUCUGAGUUUUCACCUGUGGGUGCACAAGAUCUUCAGGCAACUUCAAGAAAAUGG